GGGUUGUGGGAGUUGUGAUGUAGUGGGAUUUUGUUUCAAAUUAAAUUUAACUUUAUUUUUAAUUUUAUUUAAUUUUUCUCUCUCAGCUCAAACUUUUCUAACUUCCCCAUUUUUUUUUUGCUAUUCCUUUUCUUUUUCGUUUCCCUUCAAUUCUGCCCACAAUCUUUUCUUUUUUUCGUUGCAUUUCUGAUUUUUGGCGUUCUUUGUGCAAUU
RNAcentral lists this long non-coding RNA (213 nucleotides) under Gossypium raimondii (Peruvian cotton). RNAcentral describes it as "long non-coding RNA (GRAI_LNC001229)". Lineage: Eukaryota; Viridiplantae; Streptophyta; Magnoliopsida; Malvales; Malvaceae. The record is from RNAcentral.